This is an RNA transcript of Hyposmocoma kahamanoa, 2938 nucleotides long. It is a transcript of the gene named BTB/POZ domain-containing protein 2-like, with no coding region annotated. Lineage: Eukaryota; Metazoa; Arthropoda; Insecta; Lepidoptera; Cosmopterigidae. The record is from RefSeq and is a predicted model, not a curated record. The transcript is spliced from 6 exons.
UCGCGAAAUAAACAAUUUGGGGGUUGAUUCGCAAUCUUAGUUGGUGGUAGCAAGUGUCUCCGCUUUGAUAAUAGUUAUUCGGGGUUAUUUUGUGCUUUGAUCGCUGUUGUUGUUUUUGUAUAUACAGUGAGUUCGCUGUGAUCGUCGUUGUGUAUGAUCUCCACCGCAGCGGUCCGCCGAAGAGUUUAUUCUAAAAAUAAAUACCUUGCUGCUGCCUAAUUGUUGGCGUUAUCGAUCAGUAUUCAUCGACAACAAAUAUCGAAACUGACACUGGACAAGCCUAGAGCCGCCAAAAGAAAAAACAAUUUACGACAACAAAUCAACAUAUUUUGCGUCUUCAUUUUCAAUAACAGACCCAUGAUAUAUUUGAAAUAAUAUAAAAGCAGUGUCGGUGAUAUUUUCCCGACGUUUGUUGUGAUGUUUUAGAGAAAUUAUUGUGUGAUUUGAUAAUGGCAUCGGGGUCUAAAAAUGACAUAGUUAAUAGAUUACUUAAUGUUCGGCUGGAGGAAGGAGCUGGCGGAGAUGAGUUGCCCCCGCAGAACAUGCUGCCUUCGAACCAGCACGCGAGGCAACUAGGCCACGCAGUUGACGAUGAAACGGGGCAAUCUGUGGAGCCUGUGCCAUCCUCAUCAGCUAUAGAAAAUCUCCAGCCAACGAACAACACAGGAGGACGAUUACACAACUGGCAAGCGACAAAAACAACAGUGAAAGAGCGUCUAUCAUUCUUAUUCAACAACGAAAUCCUAUGCGACGUUCAUUUCAUAGUAGGCAAAGAACAGAAUCAACAAGUAAUCCCUGCUCAUAAGUUUGUACUAUCCGUUGGUAGUGCGGUCUUUGACGCUAUGUUCAACGGCGUUUUAGCUACUAAAUCCGACGAGGUAGAGCUGCCUGAUGUUGAACCAGCUGCAUUCUUACAUUUACUGAAGUUCCUUUAUUCUGAUGAAGUUAGAAUCGGUCCAGAGAGUGUAAUGACUACUUUGUACACUGCCAAGAAGUACGCUGUAGCAGCUUUAGAGGAGCAUUGUGUCGACUUCCUGAAGAGUAACUUGGGCACAGACAACGCGUUCCUUCUUUUGACACAAGCGCGGUUGUUUGACGAGCCGCAACUUGCUGCAUUAUGUUUAGAGAUGAUUGACAAGAACACUGCAGACGCGCUAAAUGCCGAAGGCUUCACUGAUAUUGAUCAGGAUACUUUGAAUGCUGUUUUAGAGAGAGAUACUCUUAGAAUCCGCGAGGCGAAGAUCUUCUCAGCCGUGCUUCGCUGGUCUGAAGCGGAAUGCAUACGCCGCCAAAUUCCGGUGACCCCUGGUAACCAACGCAUGGUGUUGGGCCGGGCGUUCAACGCCAUUCGGUUUCCCUUGAUGUCUGUGGAAGAGUUUGCCAUGGGGCCAGCACAAAGUGGGCUUUUGGACGAUAGAGAAAUAGUACAGCUGUUUCUUUAUUUCACUGUCAAUCCUAAACCCAAUGUGGGGUUUCUGGAUACGCCGAGAUGUUGUAUGACGGGGAAGGAGCUGACGGUGAAUAGGUUUCCCCAGACGGAGUCCCGGUGGGGCUACAGCGGGACAACUGACAGAAUACGGUUCACAGUGGAUCAGAGAAUCUUUGUUGUUGGCUUCGGGCUUUAUGGGUCAUAUUUUGGGCCUACGGAGUACGAGGUUCAUUUGCAGAUAAUCCACCUGGCAACUAAGAAAGUUUGCGGGUCGAACACGACCACAUUCUGCUGCGACGGCACCGACGACACCUUCCGGGCGAUGUUCAAGGAGCCCGUCGAGAUACUCCCCAACACUUCAUACAUCGCCAGUGCCAAACUCAAGGGCACCGACUCGUACUACGGCACGAAAGGCCUGCGACGCGUCACCGUGGAUUGCAACAACGGCGAAAAAGUCGUAUUCCAGUUCUCUUACGCCGCCGGCAACAACAAUGGCACCUCGGUCGAGGACGGACAAAUACCCACUAUCAUAUUCUACAUUUAAACGGCUAUUUGGACACAGGUAAACAUCUUGCUCAGACUAAAUACGAGGCAAUGAAGAUAUCCGUCGAAAUUAUCUGUUGAAAAUUGCACUUUACAUCAAUGACACAAUGUUCUAAUUCGCGAAUUCAAACAGUGACAGCUUAACUGUAGUCAGUCAACAAUUAAAACCGUGCCACGUUUUAUACGCGAUAUUUGAUCGAAAGAUUCUAGCUUUGAAUUAAUUAUACUAACAAUAUUGCGUUGAUCACCAUUUUGUAAUUAUUAUACUCCUAUUCAGUUAAAUCAAGAUAUCCGACUUGUAUGCCAGAUUGAAGCGACAUAACCGUCUUAACUCGAAACGCAGCAUGAAGUUCAGAGUAAAAAUUUCAAGUUUAAUCCUUGCAAAAGUCAUUUGCGACAUUAAAUUCAGGCAGAAAAUUUCGUGAAAACAUUGUAAUACUUGCAUACGGUCGAGUGCACGUUAAAUAUUGACUCUUAAGAUUUAAAUUAAACUUUAUAGCCUUUACGACAAGAACAGUCUUAAAGUGUCAAAUUUGAUGUGCACUUGACUUUAUUUUUCAAGUAAAUUGAUGCACUAGUUUUAUAUUUUGCGUCGGCCUGUUAAAAGUUCAAAACUUUUUUGGUGAUUAUAAAAUAUAGGACUAUCACAUGUUACUAAAAUAUAAAUCACCAAAUCUCUUACUAGUUUAGGUGAUUCAGAUAACUGAUUAAUAUUGAAUUUUGUAAGCUGUGAUUUCGUUUCUUUUUGACAAUGAUUACAAUUUAAAUUCACCAGUCCAAUUAGGGUGUUUCCACACUAGUGAAACACUGUCGGCUUGAGCCGGUCAGAAAAUAACUUUACAUCUAUGCAAUAAAGGCGAAAAUAACGUUGCGUUUUUCUCAUCCCGUCGGACCACCGACACGAAACACACGUCUUUUUCGCUCGUUCAUUUACACAAACAAGAAUAAACUGUAAUCUUUCUCAAA